RNAcentral lists this ribosomal RNA (435 nucleotides) under uncultured bacterium. RNAcentral's name for it is "partial 16S ribosomal RNA". It matches the Rfam family "Bacterial small subunit ribosomal RNA", at positions 30 to 507 of the family's 1533-position model. The record is from RNAcentral.
AGCGAACGCUGGCGGCAGGCUUAACACAUGCAAGUCGAGCGGGCACUUUCGGCUGUCAGCGGCGGACGGGUGAGUAACGCGUGGGAACGCGCCCUCUGGCUCGGAAUAACUUAGGGAAACUUGAGCUAAUACCGGAUACGCCCUUUUGGGGAAGGGCUUGCUGGCGGAGGGUCGGCCCGCGUCUGAUUUGCUAGCUGGUGAGGUAACGGCUCAGCAAGGCGAGGAUCAGUAGCUGGUCGGAGAGGAUGAUCAGUCACACUGAGACAGAGACACGGCCCAGACUCCUACGGGAAGCAGCAAUGGGGGAUAUUGGACAGUGGGCGCGAGGCUGAUACAGCCAUGGCGCGAUAGUGAUGAAGGGGUUAGAGUUGUAAAGCGCUAUUAACCGGGACGAUUGUGACGGUACCGGAGGAAUAAGCCCCGGCUAACUACGUG